GACGAACGCUGGCGGCGUGCUUAACACAUGCAAGUCGAACGGUGAAGCGCCUUCCUUUUUGGUGGGUGUGGAUGAGUGGCGAACGGGUGAGUAACACGUGAGUAACCUGCCCCCUUCUUCUGGAUAACCGCAUGAAAGUGUGGCUAAUACGGGAUAUUCUGGGUCUGUCGCAUGAUGGGUCUGGGAAAGAUAUUGUUUCGGUGGGGGAUGGGCUCGCGGCCUAUCAGCUUGUUGGUGGGGUGAUGGCCUACCAAGGCGGUGACGGGUAGCCGGCCUGAGAGGGUGGACGGUCACACUGGGACUGAGACACGGCCAAGACUCCUACGGGGGGCAGCAGUGGGGAAUAUUGCACGAUGGGCGCAAGCCUGAUGCAGCGACGCCGCGUGAGGGAUGGAGGCCUUCGGGUUGUGAACCUCUUUCGCCAGUGAAGCAGGCCUGCCUCGUUUGUGGGUGGGUUGACGGUAGCUGGAUAAGAAGCGCCGGCUAACUACGUG
RNAcentral lists this ribosomal RNA (494 nucleotides) under uncultured bacterium. RNAcentral describes it as "partial 16S ribosomal RNA". It matches the Rfam family "Bacterial small subunit ribosomal RNA", at positions 28 to 507 of the family's 1533-position model. The record is from RNAcentral.